UCUCCGUAGGUGAACCUGCGGAGGGAUCAUUACAGAGUUCAUGCCCUAACGGGUAGAUCUCCCACCCUAUGUUAUCAUCACUUUGUUGCUUUGGCGGGCCGUCAGGACUCGGCCUGGCUACCGGCUCUCGCUGGUAAGCGCCCGCCAGAGAACCCCAAACCCUGAAUAUCAGUGUCGUCUGAGUACUAUAUAAUAGUUAAAACUUUCAACAACGGAUCUCUUGGUUCUG
This 229-nucleotide unclassified non-coding RNA is filed under the name plant metagenome. RNAcentral describes it as "partial contains small subunit ribosomal RNA, internal transcribed spacer 1, and 5.8S ribosomal RNA". The record is from RNAcentral.